RNAcentral lists this ribosomal RNA (383 nucleotides) under Novocrania sp. D1267. Its description in RNAcentral is "partial 16S ribosomal RNA". It matches the Rfam family "Bacterial large subunit ribosomal RNA", at positions 2006 to 2597 of the family's 2925-position model. The record is from RNAcentral. Lineage: Eukaryota; Metazoa; Brachiopoda; Craniata; Craniida; Craniidae.
GUGGGAGCAGCUGUCUUCUACACAUAGCUAGAACUUAUCUUGUAGGUGAACAGACUUACAUUUGACUUCAAGACAGGUAGACCCCGAUGAGCUUGAUAGCGGUGUGUUGUUUUUGCCAAGUUAAUUAACUUGGCAUUUUAUAAUAUACUUCUUCGGUUGGGAAAACCGAGGAGAUGUAUGAAACUCUUAGAUUGUUUAUGUGUGGUAUAUAUCAAGAUCUUUAUUGAAAGAAUUUUUAUAAAGAAAAGCUACCGCGGGGAUAACAGCAUUGUCCUUUCGGAGAGAAUACAUUGAUGAAGGGGUUUGUGACCUCGAUUUUGGAUCAUAGGAAUCAGGGCGGUAAAGAGGCUGCCUGUGGGGGACUGUUCGUCCUUUAAACUUUU